GACGAACGCUGGCGGCGUGCUUAACACAUGCAAGUCGAACGGAAAGGCCCUGCUUUUGUGGGGUGCUCGAGUGGCGAACGGGUGAGUAACACGUGAGUAACCUGCCCUUGACUUUGGGAUAACUUCAGGAAACUGGGGCUAAUACCGGAUAGGAGCUCCUGCUGCAUGGUGGGGGUUGGAAAGUUUCGGCGGUUGGGGAUGGACUCGCGGCUUAUCAGCUUGUUGGUGGGGUAGUGGCUUACCAAGGCUUUGACGGGUAGCCGGCCUGGGAGGGUGACCGGCCACAUUGGGACUACGAUACGGCCCAGAAUCCUACGGGAGGCAGCAGUGGGGAAUAUUGCACAAUGGGCGGAAGCCUGAUGCAGCAACGCCGCGUGCGGGAUGACGGCCUUCGGGUUGUAAACCGCUUUCGCCUGUGACGAAGCGUGAGUGACGGUAAUGGGUAAAGAAGCACCGGCUAACUACGUG
RNAcentral lists this ribosomal RNA (468 nucleotides) under uncultured bacterium. Its description in RNAcentral is "partial 16S ribosomal RNA". It matches the Rfam family "Bacterial small subunit ribosomal RNA", at positions 28 to 507 of the family's 1533-position model. The record is from RNAcentral.